GGUUUAGGGCACUGGAAGGUCCCUAAACCGAAAGGGGCUCUGCCCGCCCGAGGAUGGGCCGGCGGCCGAUUAGGUAGUUGGUGGGGUAACGGCCCACCAAGCCCAUAAUCGGUACGGGCAGUGAGAGCUGGAGCCCGGAGAUGGACACUGAGACACGGGUCCAGGCCCUACGGGGCGCAGCAGGCGCGAAACCUCCGCAAUGCUCGAAAGAGCGACGGGGGGACCCCAAGUGCCGUGGUACAACCACGGCUUUUCCGGAGUGUAAGAAGCUCCGGAAAUAAGGGCUGGGCAAGGCCGGUGGCAGCCGCCGCGGUAAUACCGGCGGCCCGAGUGGUGGCCACUAUUAUUGGGCCUAAAGCGUCCGUAGCCGGGCUUGUAAGUCCCUGGCGAAAUCCCACGGCUCAACCGUGGGGCUUGCUGGGGAUACUGCAAGCCUUGGGACCGGGAGAGGCCGGGGGUACUCCUGGGGUAGGGGUGAAAUCCUAUAAUCCCAGGAGGACCGCCAGUGGCGAAGGCGCCCGGCUGGAACGGGUCCGACGGUGAGGGACGAAGGCCAGGGGAGCAAACCGGAUUAGAUACCCGGGUAGUCCUGGCUGUAAAGGAUGCGGGCUAGGUGUUGCUUGGACCUCGAGUCCAAGCAGUGCCGCAGGGAAGCCG
This 657-nucleotide ribosomal RNA is filed under the name uncultured archaeon. RNAcentral's name for it is "bacterial SSU rRNA". It matches the Rfam family "Archaeal small subunit ribosomal RNA", at positions 156 to 814 of the family's 1478-position model. The record is from RNAcentral.